This 145-nucleotide non-coding RNA is filed under the name Ophiophagus hannah (king cobra). RNAcentral's name for it is "Eukaryotic small subunit ribosomal RNA". It matches the Rfam family "Eukaryotic small subunit ribosomal RNA", at positions 1510 to 1655 of the family's 1831-position model. Lineage: Eukaryota; Metazoa; Chordata; Lepidosauria; Squamata; Elapidae. The record is from Rfam by way of RNAcentral.
CACCAGCAGAACUGUGAAAAACUGGGCUACUUGGAACAUCGUAUAUUUUAAGAAGAUACUUGGGGAUUGGGGAUUGCAAUUAUUCCCCAUGAACGAGGAAUUCCCAGUAAGUGCGGGUCAUAAGCUCGCGUUGAUUAAGUCCCUG